Molecule: ribosomal RNA, 253 nt
Filed under: uncultured bacterium
Lineage: Bacteria
Description: partial 16S ribosomal RNA
Rfam family: Bacterial small subunit ribosomal RNA
Source: RNAcentral
UACGUAGGGGGCAAGCGUUGUCCGGAAUCAUUGGGCGUAAAGCGCGCGUAGGCGGCCAGAUAAGUCCGGUGUGAAGGUCACAGGCUCAACCUGUGAAUGCCGCUGGAAACUGUCUGGCUUGAGUCCGGAAGGGGCGAGUGGAAUUCCUGGUGUAGCGGUGAAAUGCGCAGAUAUCAGGAGGAACACCAAUGGCGAAGGCAGCUCGCUGGAACGGUACUGACGCUGAGGCGCGAAAGCGUGGGGAGCGAACAGG